CGACCGGCGCACGGGUGAGUAACACGUAUGCGACCUGCCCCCCGCAGGGGGAUAACCGGGAGAAAUCCCGACUAAUACCGCGUAACGCCGCGGACCUGCAUGGCCCUGCGGCCAAAGGGAGCGAUUCCGGCAACGGAUGGGCAUGCGUGACAUUAGCUAGUUGGCGGGGCAACGGCCCACCAAGGCGACGAUGUCUAGGGGUUCUGAGAGGAAGGUCCCCCACACUGGUACUGAGACACGGACCAGACUCCUACGGAAGGCAGCAG
This 266-nucleotide ribosomal RNA is filed under the name uncultured bacterium. RNAcentral's name for it is "partial 16S ribosomal RNA". It matches the Rfam family "Bacterial small subunit ribosomal RNA", at positions 92 to 354 of the family's 1533-position model. The record is from RNAcentral.